UAUUGGACUUCAUGGAGCCACUGAAGCUUCUUCCUUUCUAGGUUAUAGAAAGUUCUGCUUGUGGUAGGGUUUUGACCUUUUUUUUCCCCCUUGCCCCCAUCUUAAAUUUGAGAUCCCAAACACAUGGAGAUGGUGGAAGCUUCUCUUACCUAACACCUGUUCCCAGGAUAUUAAAAACCCAAUCCUGCAAGAUGCCAGAGCCCCAUCAAAUCGCUUCAGUCUUGCAGGGAACAUUUGAUAUUUCUAAGAAUCCAGGUCCAGAUGAAGUAGCAUUUGCUUAUUCUGUUAAAACAUUGGUUUUUACAUGAACCCUGUCAUCAGGGAUCUGAGCACCCCACAAUCUUCAGUGUAUUGAUCCUUAACACCUAAGGAAAUACUAUUAUCUCCAUUUUACACAUGGAGCUGAAACACAGCUUAGUGACUUGCUCAAGGUCACACAUGAAGUCUAUGAUGGAGCAGGGAGUUGAACUUGUCUCAGAGUGGUGCCGUGACUCCUAGCCCAUCCUCAUUCUCUAGAAUGUAAGUGGAAAGUAACACGUUUACAACACACAUGCUGUCAGAAAGCUGCCGAGAGCCGGAUUCAAACUCAGAGUACAUGGGUACUGCUUAGGUUCAAUGGCCACAGCAUGUCAGCGCAAGUCACCCAGUUACUCUGACAAAUUGCUUUGUCUUGUCAGUUCCGUUCAUGAGAGGUGACAGGGUGGAAAACCCCUUCCGUGGGCAGUCAUUCCACACACUUGAUUGCACAUCCCUGUUUAGAGUCUCUAGGCACUGCUAUAAUUCAAAUAAUAAUUCUGGGAUGUUCAUUUGUUUUUUGCACUACUCUGGAUUUCUUUAGGCAUGUAAAGAUGCAUGUAUGCAGACAGACACUGUCCCUUUUCUGCUCCCUUAUGGCAGGCUGUGGAACCACGUGACUUGCUCACGAAAACAGAAAAGAGACCUGAGGAACAAGCCUUUGGAUGCUACAGUGACUAAGAUGAGGGCUCCUAGGUAUUUGGACACCAAGAUCUGCCCAUCAAGGAUUCACACCAUCACACAGCCAGUCCAUUUUGAAAGAAGAACAACCGGUUCACACUUUGUAUAGCUUUCCUAUUGCCACUGACACCACUGAAAGAUGCCAAAGAGAACAAGGGGAAGAAACAAAGACUAUAUAAGGGAGUGGAGAAUAAGGAAGACUCAGAAAGAGUGAGUGAAGAAAAAGAGAAGGCAAAUUCCAUCGUCAGUUACAUCUGUAUGACCCCAAAUUAAGAAAACAGAACUGUGCCAGUGUAAAUGAAUACGGAAAGACAAGAGGGAGAAGAAACAGGUGCAUGCUAUUGUCAGCUGCACCAAAUGCUUAGAGAAACUAAGCCCAAAUAAAAAUGUUUUAAUUUUUUUGAAGUGGAAGAUU
RNAcentral lists this long non-coding RNA (1390 nucleotides) under Gopherus agassizii (Agassiz's desert tortoise). RNAcentral describes it as "lncRNA (ENSGAGG00000015421.1)". Lineage: Eukaryota; Metazoa; Chordata; Testudines; Testudinidae. The record is from RNAcentral.